This 934-nucleotide long non-coding RNA is filed under the name Monodelphis domestica (gray short-tailed opossum). RNAcentral describes it as "lncRNA (ENSMODG00000036495.1)". The record is from RNAcentral. Lineage: Eukaryota; Metazoa; Chordata; Mammalia; Didelphimorphia; Didelphidae.
GUUAACUGAGGAUUAGGGGUCUUUCUCUGGUUUUGAACUGGAGAGAUAGGCUGCUUUUCCUUAGUGACUGAUACUACCCUAUACUACCCUGAAUUUUCUAUCCUGUCUUGCUGUUUGGUUGCCCUGUUCUUCUGCUACUCUGCUGCUCUGGGAAGAAACCUCUAUCCACUAAUGAAAAGAUAAUGGCUAUAUUCUGAUUCACAUCACAUAAUUGAAGGACCUUAACAGGUUGAGCUCAGAGGUAUGCUCUUCUCUCCUCUUUGUCAGAAGAGAAAGUACCAAGAUUUAAACUGUCCAGCUGCUUUUCUCAGCUAGAGGUUCUAGUCCAUUCCCCACUGGCAAGCAACAUUCCAUCAUCUUCCUUCACGGUGUUUUUGUAAUCAAGUCUUUGCAAUGAAGUCUACAAUCCAUUCUUCCACAAGAUGAACAAAGAAGUCACUAAGCAGGUGGAUGGCAGAUGGACAUUCUUAACAACCUCUUUUACAAGUUCCCAAAGGAGAGAAAAGAAACAUGUUGCUAAGAGGAAGAGCAAGUGCCAGAUGGAAAUGGACUUAGUACGGAUGAAAAUAUCUAUAGUAUAAAUUCUUGAUACCCCUCACACCUGUGUGGUGGCUUCUAACAGCUCUCCGCUGCCUUAUGAAGCUAUUUCCAUUUUAAUGGAAAAUCAGCUUGGCAGGGAAGAGAGUUAAAAAUUCAUAAGAUUAAAUACUAUGCUCAUCUUUCCCUGUAGAAGAGUGCUUCAAUUCUUCUCUCUUUUGAUUUAUUGAAAUAAUAUAUUUUGGAGUCAGAGGACCUGGAUUCAAAUCUUUCCACUUAUUCCUAAUAGCUAAAUGUCUUUAUUGUUUUAAAGAGUAGGAAAUUUUAUUAUUAAAAUGCAUGUCUUCCAUGAAAGAAUACUGGAACCUAUACUUGAAUAAGUAAAUAGAUUUUGGAC